CUGCGCUGCCAACAGGAAACUUGAGAGGGCCAGGGGCUCGGCCGCCGCCCUGUCCCUCGGCCGGAAGCCGCGCGCCCCCCGCCGCCUGGCCUCCGCUGGGCCGCGCCGCAGCCCGGGGUCAGCUGCCAACCACGCUCCCCGGACCUGGUCUCCACUGCCACCGCCGGGCUCUGAAACCGCGCCCCACAGUGUUCGGAUUUGCCCUGGCCUCUUCCCUGACCAGUCCUUUCCCAAGGAGAGUGAAGUUGCCUGGAUGGUAGCAAGAAGCUUGGACUCUACUUUGGAUGACUCUGUUAUUUGAAACCACAUGGCUCUGUGAACCCCAGGGAUUAGAAUGGAAACCAGCAAUGAAUUGGUGUCAUGGCCACUUUGUAGGGCUCCCACAGACGGCAAGCACAAUGAUCAACAACAGACACCACCCUUCCUCCAAGACGUGAGGGAGGCCGCCACCUGGACAUGUCCUUUGACAACCAGCUGCAGAGUGUGCUGCUGCCCAUUGUGGACAAGAGGUCAGGGGAGCUGCUGGAGGAAUUGGUGUUCCAGGUGCCAGGAAGCAGGGAUCACUGGGCCGGGGCAGUGGCAAGAACAUCAGAAGGGAGCUCCUGGUGGGUGCAACAUCAGAUGGCAGUUCUAAAUCUCUUUCUUCACAUGACCAUAUUUGUUA
Long non-coding RNA from Trichechus manatus latirostris (Florida manatee), 664 nucleotides. RefSeq lists it as uncharacterized. The transcript is spliced from 3 exons. The record is from RefSeq and is a predicted model, not a curated record. Lineage: Eukaryota; Metazoa; Chordata; Mammalia; Sirenia; Trichechidae.